Molecule: ribosomal RNA, 492 nt
Filed under: uncultured bacterium
Lineage: Bacteria
Description: partial 16S ribosomal RNA
Rfam family: Bacterial small subunit ribosomal RNA
Source: RNAcentral
AGUGAACGCUGGCGGUAGGCCUAACACAUGCAAGUCGAACGGCAGCACAGUAAGAGCUUGCUCUUACAGGUGGCGAGUGGCGGACGGGUGAGGAAUACAUCGGAAUCUACUUUUUCGUGGGGGAUAACGUAGGGAAACUUACGCUAAUACCGCAUACGACCUACGGGUGAAAGCAGGGGAUCUUCGGACCUUGCGCGAUUGAAUGAGCCGAUGUCGGAUUAGCUAGUUGGCGGGGUAAAGGCCCACCAAGGCGACGAUCCGUAGCUGGUCUGAGAGGAUGAUCAGCCACACUGGAACUGAGACACGGUCCAGACUCCUACGGGAGGCAGCAGUGGGGAAUAUUGGACAAUGGGCGCAAGCCUGAUCCAGCCAUACCGCGUGGGUGAAGAAGGCCUUCGGGUUGUAAAGCCCUUUUGUUGGGAAAGAAAAGCAGCAGGUUAAUACCCCGCUGUUCUGACGGUACCCAAAGAAAAAGCACCGGCUAACUUCGUG